AGGGCGGGACACGUGGUAUCCUGUCUGAAUAUGGGGGGACCAUCCUCCAAGGCUAAAUACUCCUGACUGACCGAUAGUGAACCAGUACCGUGAGGGAAAGGCGAAAAGAACCCCGGCGAGGGGAGUGAAAAAGAACCUGAAACCGUGUACGUACAAGCAGUGGGAGCACGCUUAGGCGUGUGACUGCGUACCUUUUGUAUAAUGGGUCAGCGACUUAUAUUCUGUAGCAAGGUUAACCGAAUAGGGGAGCCGAAGGGAAACCGAGUCUUAACUGGGCGUUAAGUUGCAGGGUAUAGACCCGAAACCCGGUGAUCUAGCCAUGGGCAGGUUGAAGGUUGGGUAACACUAACUGGAGGACCGAACCGACUAAUGUUGAAAAAUUAGCGGAUGACUUGUGGCUGGGGGUGAAAGGCCAAUCAAACCGGGAGAUAGCUGGUUCUCCCCGAAAGCUAUUUAGGUAGCGCCUCGUGAAUUCAUCUCCGGGGGUAGAGCACUGUUUCGGCAAGGGGGUCAUCCCGACUUACCAACCCGAUGCAAACUGCGAAUACCGGAGAAUGUUAUCACGGGAGACACACGGCGGGUGCUAACGUCCGUCGUGAAGAGGGAAACAACCCAGACCGCCAGCUAAGGUCCCAAAGUCAUGGUUAAGUGGGAAACGAUGUGGGAAGGCCCAGACAGCCAGGAUGUUGGCUUAGAAGCAGCCAUCAUUUAAAGAAAGCGUAAUAGCUCACUGGUCGAGUCGGCCUGCGCGGAAGAUGUAACGGGGCUAAACCAUGCACCGAAGCUGCGGCAGCGACACUAUGUGUUGUUGGGUAGGGGAG
RNAcentral lists this ribosomal RNA (821 nucleotides) under Escherichia coli. Its description in RNAcentral is "partial 23S ribosomal RNA". It matches the Rfam family "Bacterial large subunit ribosomal RNA", at positions 414 to 1236 of the family's 2925-position model. Lineage: Bacteria; Pseudomonadati; Pseudomonadota; Gammaproteobacteria; Enterobacterales; Enterobacteriaceae. The record is from RNAcentral.